This 305-nucleotide ribosomal RNA is filed under the name uncultured bacterium. Its description in RNAcentral is "partial 16S ribosomal RNA". It matches the Rfam family "Bacterial small subunit ribosomal RNA", at positions 508 to 807 of the family's 1533-position model. The record is from RNAcentral.
ACAGCAGCCGCCGCGGGAAAACGUAGGUGGCAAGCGUUGUCCGGAAUUAUUGGGCGUAAAGGGCUCGCAGGCGGUUUCUUAAGUCUGAUGUGAAAGCCCCCGGCUCAACCGGGGAGGGUCAUUGGAAACUGGGAAACUUGAGUGCAGAAGAGGAGAGUGGAAUUCCACGUGUAGCGGUGAAAUGCGUAGAGAUGUGGAGGAACACCAGUGGCGAAGGCGACUCUCUGGUCUGUAACUGACGCUGAGGAGCGAAAGCGUGGGGAGCGAACAGGAUUAGAUACCCGAGUAGUCCCUGUCUCUUAUAC